This 376-nucleotide unclassified non-coding RNA is filed under the name uncultured Pseudobdellovibrionaceae bacterium. RNAcentral describes it as "uncultured Bdellovibrionaceae bacterium contains 16S-23S intergenic spacer region". The record is from RNAcentral. Lineage: Bacteria; Pseudomonadati; Bdellovibrionota; Bdellovibrionia; Bdellovibrionales; Pseudobdellovibrionaceae.
UCCGACUUAACGUCGGCAGUCCCAUUAGAGUGCCCAACUGAAUGCUGGCAACUAAUGGCAAGGGUUGCGCUCGUUACGGGACUUAACCCAACAUCUCACGACACGAGCUGACGACAGCCAUGCAGCACCUUGCAAAGCGCCCCGAAGGGAAUACCUAUCUCUAGGUACGUCACUAAGCAUUCGAGCCCAGGUAAGGUUUUUCGCGUUGCAUCGAAUUGAACCACAUGCUCCACCGCUUGUGCGGGCCCCCGUCAAUUUCUUUGAGUUUUAAUCUUGCGACCGUACUCCCCAGGCGGAUCACUUAACGCGUUAGCUUCGGCACUGAAGGGGUCAAUACCUCCAACACCAAGUGAUCAUCGUUUACGGCGUGGACUAC